This 242-nucleotide unclassified non-coding RNA is filed under the name Hevea brasiliensis (rubber tree). Lineage: Eukaryota; Viridiplantae; Streptophyta; Magnoliopsida; Malpighiales; Euphorbiaceae. The record is from RNAcentral.
UAGCUUUCUGUUGAACUGCAACCUUAUUAAUUUGAGGCAAGUGUGAAUCAACAACUGAUGGAAGUGUUGUACUUCCAGUAUGACCACCAAUGGUCUAAAAUAUGAGACAUGUUCUUGUGGUGUCUCUUAAUCCCAACUAGUUACUGACAGAAUUUCAUUCGUUUUAUGUGGAGCUUUUCUGGUGCAUUUAAGAACAUUGGUUGAUGUGAAACAUGUCUCGCUGCGUUGUUUGGAUAUACUGG